RNAcentral lists this ribosomal RNA (124 nucleotides) under Oryctolagus cuniculus (rabbit). The record is from RNAcentral. Lineage: Eukaryota; Metazoa; Chordata; Mammalia; Lagomorpha; Leporidae.
GUCUAUGGCCACACCACCCUGACCACGCCCAAUCUCGUCUGGUCUCAGAAGCUAAGCAGGGUUGGGCCUGGUUAGUACUUGGAUGGGAGAGCGACGUCCAUAUGGGAUGCCGAUGUUGCAGGCA